UAGAGUUUGAUCCUGGCUCAGGAUGAACGCUAGCGGCAGGCCUAACACAUGCAAGUCGAGGGGCAGCGCGGGUGGCAACACCUGGCGGCGACCGGCGCACGGGUGCGUAACGCGUAUGAAACCUGCCCCCCGCUGGGGGAUAGCCCGUCGAAAGGCGGAUUAAUACCCCAUGGCUUCCCCGGACCGCAUGGUCUGGGGAGUAAAGCUUCGGCGGCGGGGGAUGGUCAUGCGUGCCAUUAGCUGGUUGGCGGGGUAACGGCCCACCAAGGCGACGAUGGCUAGGGGGUCUGAGAGGAUGGUCCCCCACACUGGUACUGAGACACGGACCAGACUCCUACGGGAGGCAGCAGUGAGGAAUAUUGGUCAAUGGGCGGAAGCCUGAACCAGCCAUGCCGCGUGCAGGAUGACGGCCCUACGGGUUGUAAACCGCUUUUGCACGGGAAGAAUAACCCCCUCGUGAGGGGGGAUGCCGGUACCGUGCGAAUAAGGAUCGGCUAACUCCGUGCCAGCAGCCGCGGUAAUACGGAGGAUCCGAGCGUUAUCCGGAUUUACUGGGUUUAAAGGGUGCGUAGGCGGGCGCCUAAGUCAGCGGUGAAAGGCAGCGGCUCAACCGUUGAACUGCCGUUGAAACUGGGCGCCUUGGAUUCGGUCGGGGCCGGCGGAAUGCGUGGUGUAGCGGUGAAAUGCUUAGAUAUCACGCGGAACGCCGAUCGCGAAGGCAGCUGGCCAGGCCGAGAUCGACGCUGAGGCACGAAAGCAUGGGGAUCAAACAGGAUUAGAUACCCUGGUAGUCCACGCCGUAAACGAUGAUCACUGGAUGCCGGCGACACGCUGUCGGCGUCUGAGCGAAAGCAUUAAGUGAUCCACCUGGGGAGUACGAUCGCAAGGUUGAAACUCAAAGGAAUUGACGGGGGCCCGCACAAGCGGAGGAACAUGUGGUUUAAUUCGAUGAUACGCGAGGAACCUUACCUGGGCUAGAACGCAUUCGGAACCGCCCCGAGAGGGGCGCGCCAGCGAUGGCCGUUUGCGAGGUGCUGCAUGGUUGUCGUCAGCUCGUGCCGUGAGGUGUCGGGUUAAGUCCCAUAACGAGCGCAACCCCUACUGCUAGUUGCCAGCGGAUCAUGCCGGGGACUCUACCGGAACUGCCAGCGUAAGCUGCGAGGAAGGUGGGGAUGACGUCAAAUCAGCACGGCCCUUACGUCCAGGGCUACACACGUGUUACAAUGGCCGGUACAGAGGGCAGCCACCCCGCGAGGGGGCGCGAAUCCCGAAAGCCGGUCCCAGUUCGGAUCGGAGUCUGCAACCCGACUCCGUGAAGCUGGAUUCGCUAGUAAUCGCGCAUCAGCCACGGCGCGGUGAAUACGUUCCCGGGCCUUGUACACACCGCCCGUCAAGCCAUGGAAGCCGGGUGUACCUGAAGUCCGUAACCGCGAGGAGCGGCCUAGGGUAAAACUGGUGACUGGGGCUAAGUCGUAACAAGGUAACC
RNAcentral lists this ribosomal RNA (1486 nucleotides) under uncultured Bacteroidota/Chlorobiota group bacterium. RNAcentral describes it as "bacterial SSU rRNA". It matches the Rfam family "Bacterial small subunit ribosomal RNA". Lineage: Bacteria; Pseudomonadati. The record is from RNAcentral.